GCUAUUUUCAGUUGCUUUAUUGCUUCACUAGCCCACAUGGACUUGCAAAUAUAUAAAAGUUAGUCCUAUGACAUAACAUGUUGAGACUCCAGAUUCCCAGAGAGACUUCCAAGAGAGAAUUAGAGGAUGGAGUCAGGGUAGAUAAGAGAAUCUUAGGAUGUAGAGAAGAGUCGGUACUCAACAGAUCCCAGGAUUCCCGUAUCCCAAACCCUUUAAUAUUGUACUGGUUGAGGUGAGAGUUCAUUCUGUUUCCCCAUCCCAAAGCCCCCUUUACUCUUAUGUAUUCCAUCACCUCAAUUUAUAUGCAUAGCUUCCCUGAUUGCUGUUUUACUGUUUGCUUUGAUUAAUAUGUUUACUCACUAUACUUGAUUGCUUUUGGUAUAAUAAACAUAUGGUAAGCAAGGAGACUUAAACUGGAUGAGAUUAAGCUGAUUGUUGCCCUUCAGGUCUGGGGCAGAAUCAUUUUCUCCUCCCUCUCUCCCCUAGCAACCAUCACAUGUGGAAUUUAUCUGGAACCCAGCAUCAGAACUGCAUUCCUAGCCUACAAAUGUCUCAUGGGGAGCAGAUAUCAUUCCAAGCCCCAUGAUUCCUCUGAGGAUAGAAGCGGGGAAGAGUGAUCACUUAGCCCCUAUAAAGCCUUUGUUGAUCAGUCCAGGAGACAGAUUAAAUGAAACAGGUGUGUCUCGUGCUCCCUUUUUAGCAGUACUGAGCUGUCUAUUAAUAUUAGGUUCUUUAAUUCCUAUUUGUUCCAAUCUUCAGAGAAAGGAAAGAAGUUUUCUUUUAGUUGUUUACUUUUGUUUUAGAAAUGAAAGAGUUUAUUGGAAAAUUUUGGGAUCAAAUUGUGAAGGGCCAAGCAACAUCUGCUUGACUGCAAUGCAGAAUACAUGAAGGGGGAAAGGAACUGGGCUUGUAGUUUCACUGAGAUGGGCAAACUCUAUCUACUAAUGCAGAUGGGCAUCCUCUCUGCAACUUAGUCUUAAGGAGUUGCCUCAGAGCUUUGAGAGGUCAAGUAAUUCCCAAAGGUCAGACAUAGCCUGUGCCAGAGGUCUGAAAGGAACCCAGAUGUACUGUGGCUCCAAGACCAACUCCCCACCCACUACAACAUGCUUCUUCAAGAGUAAUAGUGCGAAAUAAGACUAGUACAUACAUUGUUUAAUACUAUUCCCUUUAUAUGAUCUAUAUUCCAUUCAACCUGACUGUUUAGCUGCUUCCAGCACAUAUUCUAGCUUUCUCUUGAUUUAACCCAUUCAAGGAGGCUCUUCCCUAUUCAGAAUACUCUCCUUCCUCAUAUCUAUUUAUUGAGUUCUCGCCCUUCCUACAAGCCUGACUGAGAUUCUAUGUUACCUAUGAUGUUUUCUGUUAUGCCCCCUCCCCCAGAGGAAAAUAAGAUUUCCUUUAUUUUGACAUUUAGGGGUCUCUACUGAAAUAAUAGUUUAUUUUAAGAUAAGAGAAGGAAGGAAAGGGAAUUGGGAUAAUCUAUCUAAAGAAACCACCAAAUCUUGUUGGUAAUUGUACACUAUCAGUUAUUUCUCUACCUAAAAGUCCCAGUUCCUACAGUAAACUAUGCUUCUCUAACUCAAAUUCCCCCCUUAGAUGGUGAUGGAGGUAGUAGGGUAGGAAGGAAAGCAGGACCAGGGCUCAAAGGGAUGGUCUCCCUGACAGAUGGUUUUUUGGUGUCGUCAGCAACCCUGUAGAGAUAUCUCUCAGCAUCAACAGGAUCCACAGGAACAAGCAGUUGGUAGGUGGAUAACAAGGAAAGCCACAGGAGAGAGAAUAUCUAGCUCUCUAGGUCCAUCCUAGAAGACUCGAUAAAACUGAACCUCCAACUUCCCUAACUGUUAGAAGAAGCAAGAGUCCUGUCCAGAGUUCUAAAACAUUACAGAUUCUG
Monodelphis domestica (gray short-tailed opossum) is the source of this 1888-nucleotide long non-coding RNA. NCBI's taxonomy places the organism in Eukaryota, Metazoa, Chordata, Mammalia, Didelphimorphia, Didelphidae. The record is from Ensembl.